UACAGGGGGUGCAAACGUUGCUCGGAAUCAUUGGGCGUAAAGCGCACGUAGGCGGUUCGUUAUGUCGGAUGUGAAAGCCCUUGGCUUAACCGAGGAAGUGCAUCCGAAACUGGCGAGCUAGAGUACGAAAGAGGAUCGCGGAAUUCCCGGUGUAGAGGUGAAAUUCGUAGAUAUCAGGAGGAACACCGGUGGCGAAGGCGGGUCUCUGGGCCGUAACUGACGCUGGAGGAGCGAAAGCAUGGGGAGCGAACAGG
RNAcentral lists this ribosomal RNA (254 nucleotides) under uncultured bacterium. Its description in RNAcentral is "partial 16S ribosomal RNA". It matches the Rfam family "Bacterial small subunit ribosomal RNA", at positions 524 to 776 of the family's 1533-position model. The record is from RNAcentral.